UCCAGACUCCUACGGGAGGCAGCAGUGGGGAAUAUUGCGCAAUGGGCGAAAGCCUGACGCAGCGACGCCGCGUGAGUGAAGAAGUAUUUCGGUAUGUAAAGCCCUCUCAGCAGGAAAGAAAAUGACGGUACCUGACUAAGAAGCCCCGGCUAACUACGUGCCAGCAGCCGCGGUAAUACGUAGGGGGCAAGCGUUAUCCGGAUUUACUGGGUGUAAAGGGAGCGUAGACGGCAGUGCAAGUCCGGAGUGAAAGCCCGGGGCUCAACCCUGGGACUGCUCUGGAAACUGUAAAGCUGGAGUGCGGGAGGGGCAGGCGGAAUUCCUGGUGUAGCGGUGAAAUGCGUAGAUAUCAGGAGGAACACCGGCGGCGAAGGCGGCCUGCUGGACCGUAACUGACGUUGAGGCUCGAAAGCGUGGGGAGCAAACAGGAUUAGAUACCCCCGUAAC
Molecule: ribosomal RNA, 447 nt
Filed under: uncultured bacterium
Lineage: Bacteria
Description: bacterial SSU rRNA
Rfam family: Bacterial small subunit ribosomal RNA
Source: RNAcentral